RNAcentral lists this unclassified non-coding RNA (555 nucleotides) under Exserohilum neoregeliae. Its description in RNAcentral is "sequence contains ITS1, 5.8S rRNA gene, ITS2". The stretch from base 200 to 353 matches the Rfam family "5.8S ribosomal RNA". Lineage: Eukaryota; Fungi; Ascomycota; Dothideomycetes; Pleosporales; Pleosporaceae. The record is from RNAcentral.
CCCAACAAAAAAAAAAGUAUGAGGGUGCGGGGUGCUGGCAACAGCGCCCCUCCCCCAAGUAUCUUUUUUUUUUUUCUUCACCCAUGUCUUUUGCGCACUUUUUGUUUCCUGGGCGAGUUCGCUCGCCACCAGGACCCAACCAUAAACCUUUUUUUUAUGCAGUUGCUAUCAGCGUCAGUAUAAUAAUUCAAUUUAUUAAAACUUUCAACAACGGAUCUCUUGGUUCUGGCAUCGAUGAAGAACGCAGCGAAAUGCGAUACGUAGUGUGAAUUGCAGAAUUCAGUGAAUCAUCGAAUCUUUGAACGCACAUUGCGCCCUUUGGUAUUCCAAAGGGCAUGCCUGUUCGAGCGUCAUUUGUACCCUCAAGCUUUGCUUGGUGUUGGGCGUCUUUUUUGUCUCUUCCUCGUGGGGAGACUCGCCUUAAAACAAUUGGCAGCCGGCCUACUGGUUUCGGAGCGCAGCACAAAUUUGCGCUUUCCCAUUCCACAGGGCGGCAUCCAGCAAGCCUUUUGUUGGUCUACAACAAAAUCCACAUUUGACCUCGGAUCAGGUAGG